This 119-nucleotide ribosomal RNA is filed under the name Ochotona princeps (American pika). The record is from RNAcentral. Lineage: Eukaryota; Metazoa; Chordata; Mammalia; Lagomorpha; Ochotonidae.
GUCUACGGCCAUACCACCCUGAACGCGCCGAUCUUGUCUGAUCUCGGAAGCUAAGCAGGGUCGGGCCUGGUUAGUACUUGGAUGGGAAAAAUAUGCAUGGAGCUCCAUCAGUCUGGAUC